RNAcentral lists this long non-coding RNA (11993 nucleotides) under Erythranthe guttata (spotted monkey flower). RNAcentral's name for it is "long non-coding RNA (EGUT_LNC003282)". Lineage: Eukaryota; Viridiplantae; Streptophyta; Magnoliopsida; Lamiales; Phrymaceae. The record is from RNAcentral.
UCCGCCGUCGCUAGGAUGUUGACAUCUUGGCUAAAUCGCCGCCGGAGUAGAUACUUGAUUGUGAUCCUGUUAAGCCCUUUUAUUUUUCCUUUAUUCUUCGCCACCUGUCCCCUCAUCUGCGCCGUUGAAAUAUGCUGCUUGGUGCGCCGGAAGCGGCGCACGGCGGACGCGGACGCCGGCGGCGGAGAUGGGUGGUGGAGCCGGGAAGGUGACGGUGGCGAUGAGGUGGGUUUGCUGCAGAGAUACCUGGAUGAUCAGCUGUCGCUCGUCGCUGGAUCGGUGUACGGGUGCGGCGGGGACGAUGAUGAGAAUGUGGGUGGAGAAGACGGGGUCGAUGUUGAAUAUUUUGAUAGUACGAGGCCUCUCUUGCAAUAGCUCAUAUUUGACUAUGUAAUAAACUUUGUACAUGGCUCUAGAGUUGGAAAAAAUACUGUAUAAUACAUAUUUUUCUAUAAUACAUAUUAAUUGCAAAUUGACCCUUCGUCUUUUAAUACUUUGUACUUCUCAUGCGAAAUAUAUACGUUUGUGCUUUGUUCAAUCUCUUUCUGAUGGGCCUUAGCCCAAAACAAUAAUAAACUUAAAUCCUAAUUUAAACACCCAAAUUUUAAUAAGUUUUAGCCCACUUAGACCCAUUUUAGCUAAUUAAGCAUUAAUUUAAGGCCCGAGCCAUUGGGGUAAACAAAAGUCAAAAUACACUUAACUACAUUGCAUUAUUUUAUAAUGAAAUGCUAUUUACUUUUUAUGUAUAAAGAAUUAGAUAUUCAAUUUCCGGAAAUUAGAUACUACAACUGGUUAUUUACACUGAUUAAAUAUAAACCGUAGAUCUACACAUAAUCACAGACAUAUGUGUAGUUUGUGUUUAGUCAAUAGUUAUUUAAUCAAAUUUACGAUUUGAAUCAACUCCGUAUAAAAUAAUCAUGUGUAAAAUCUAACUCCCCUCCAAUUUAACUAGUCACAUAAUUAAGCUAGGUUAGUUUAUAUAUAUCACAAAAUCAGAAAAAAAAAUCAAUGAAAAAAACAAAAAUAUAAACACAUGGGAGAUUUAAUUAUUUGCUAUUAUAGGAAAACAAUAGAAAUAUCCUAAUAAUUACAAAUUCCAUGGAAAAGGAAAUAAAUAAUAAAUAAAUAAAUAAAGGGAGUAAUUAUGGGCGUGCCCCAAACGUACUGUCACACUGCGUUCUCUUAAUCUACACGAUCGAAAAUCCUAAAAGGAGGAAAUUCAUACAUAGGACUAAUAAAAUCGAGUUAACACAUGAAAAUCUGAGUUCGAAUCGGUGCGUCAGAAAUUCGAUUUCUCUUUGAGAUCUGAAUUACCGAAAAAGCAAUCGAGGGAGAUAUAGAAGAACAUCCCAUUUUUUUUCAUAAUUGUGAGAUUUCCUGAUUCAGAUCCGAGGAAACCCUAUUCACCCAGAGGGAAUGGGCUACGCCGUCAGAUUUUUCUGCACAUUCGCUUUCUUCUUUUUGUUCUUCGUCUCCUCCACCCUCGGCAAGGUGAUAAGAAUAAUUCUAAUUUUCCGUAGUUUACUUCAGAAAGUUUCAUAUUUACGUGAAGUGGUUGUAGAUCUCAGUUUGAUGUGUGAUUCACUUCAAUCAAAACUUAGGUUUCUUAUUUUUAAUCUCUAAUUUUUUUAAUUUUUUUUAAUUUUGUGCAAUUGGUGAUGUGCCUUGUAAGAAAGAUGUUUUGAUUUGUGAUUUGUGAUUUGUGAUUUGUGACGGUAAUCUGAAAUGAUUGAUACCGGAUGACCUGAGAAUGAUUGGGAUUUAUAAUGUGAUCACUUGAUAAGAUCAAAAUGUUUAUAGAAAAUAGUACUGUUCGAGCUCCCUUUUUCUGUUUACCCGUUUCUUAUGCUGCUUCUUACAUUUGAACGGUAAAAGUUUCGUACAUGAUCUUGAAUUUUGACUGUUACUUGCAGAAAUUUUUGUUUCUGAAUUGUCUAAUGCUCAAAGUAUCAUUGCAUUUUGCCUUGUAAUUUGUUUACACGUCUUUGAACAAUCUGCAGUACCAAGAUGAUGAGGCCGUCACACUUUGGGUAAACAAGGUUGGCCCGUACAACAAUCCCCAAGAAACCUACAACUAUUACAGUCUCCCGUUUUGCCACCCACCUGGCAAUGCAGCUCACAAGUGGGGUGGGCUGGGUGAGGUUAUCGGAGGGAAUGAGCUUAUUGAUAGCCAAAUCGAAAUAAAAUUUAAGAGUAAUAUCCUAUUACUGCAUUUCUAUAGUCAUAUCUCCUUUCAAUACCCACACCUCCGCACUCACAUGUGGUUAACCCUUUUUUUAUAUUUCUUUUCUUGCAGGAGAUGUCACGAAGGCUAAAAUCUGUGAAAUCGAACUGGAAGCUGCAAAUGUUAAACAGUUUAAGGAUGCAAUUGAUAAUUCAUACUGGUUUGAAUUUUUUAUGGGUAUGUUUGCCAUUGGUCUAUUGCCAUUACAUUGCUCCAGAAUAACUCAAUCAAACUUUUGCUAAUAUAUUCUUUUUCAUUUUCACUUGGGUUCUCUGUUGCGCAUGGGCUUGCUUGUGAUCAGAUGAUUUGCCAUUGUGGGGUACGUCAAUAUAUUUAUACAAAUCUAGUUGCACCUUGGCUGUAUUCAACUUGUAUUGAAUUGCCACUUCUUUUGUGAAGGUUUUGUUGGUGAGGUGCUUCCUGAUAAAGCCCAUGAUAGUAAGCACGUACUUCUGACUCACAAGAAUCUUGUCAUUAACUACAACGGGGAUCAGGUGUGCUGCCGAGUAGAAGUUUUUUAUGCAUUAGUUUAUCCUGCAAGUUGUAAUAACUUCUCCAUUUUUAAUAGAAAACUUGGACUUGCAGAUUAUUCAUAUAAAUCUUACUCAAGAGAACCCCAGGCCACUUGAAGAAGGGCGGGUGUUGGAUAUGACCUACUCUGUCAAAUGGGUUCGAACUAACGUUACAUUUGCACGCCGUUUUGAUGUUUAUCUGGAUUACCCCUUUUUCGAGCACCAGGUAUAGUUAAAUUUUGCACAUACUCAUUGAUCAUUCUGGUAGAUAGAAGGGUAUCUACUUACAGAUCUUUUGCUCCAAAGAUGCUGGUAUUGAAGAUUGAAGGGGAAUUAUUGAAAGUUUUACCAACAAGUAGUGGUUAGCAUAUACUACUUGUUUGCUAUUUUAUCUCAGCCAUCACAUCAUCAAAGAGUUGUUUUUGCAGAUUCACUGGUUCUCUGUCUUCAAUUCUUUCAUGAUGGUAAUUUUCCUUACUGGUUUGGUGUCUAUGAUAUUGAUGCGUACGCUACGCAACGACUACGCUAAAUAUGCUCGGGAAGAUGAUGAUCUGGAAACUCUGGUAAUAAUUUAUAAAAUUUGUCUGGAGUGAAGUAAGACAUAUAUUUUGUAAGCUUGCUUAUAUAGAUCUUUUCAUGUUUAGGAACGGGAUGUGAGUGAAGAAUCUGGUUGGAAACUUGUCCAUGGUGAUGUGUUUCGUCCUUCCAAGAACCUGGCUCUACUUUCAGCUGUUGUUGGCACUGGUGCUCAGCUAGCAACACUUGUUCUGCUUGUCAUCAUUUUAGCAAUUGUUGGAAUGUUGUACAUAGGGUAUGCAUCAUUUUACCUCCGAUGUCAUUUAUCAUUGUGAAAUUGAUCAAGCUGGCUUGACAUAGCUCAAGUCUUAUUAUGCUUAGAAAUUGCCUUCGAUUGCAAAACUAUCCAUUUAUGUUUGUUAAUAGCCAAUAUGAUGUCCAAAAUCGUUCUUUACUGUGAUCUAAAUCUGGUUAAAUGAACAGAUCCUGAGAUAUUUAACAAUAGUCUUAACAACUCAGCUUGUCUUCAUAUUCUGUAUGAUAAGUCCUCUCUCAUUUUUUAUUCUUUUUUUCUGCUUACCGCUGCAAUUAUGUGAUUCAGGAGAGGAGCAAUUGUCACAACCUUUAUCGUAUGCUAUGCUUUUACAUCAUUUAUUGCUGGUUACGUGAGUGGUGGCAUGUAUUCCCGCCAUGGGGGUAUGUUCUCAUUUUAACUUCCACCUAAAAAAAACUAUUUCCUAUAAUUUCUCAAAGCUUAUUUUGCCAGUAGUCCUGUAAUCUUUAUAACUGACAGAUUAUUGUAUUCUUGUCAUCAUUGAUAGGUAAAACUUGGAUAAAGUCGAUGAUCCUUACCGCGUCACUGUUCCCCUUCAUGUGUUUCGGCAUUGGCUUCAUCUUGAACACAAUCGCCAUAUUUUAUGGUUCUCUAGCCGCCAUCCCCUUUGGUACCAUGGUGGUUGUUUUAGUCAUAUGGGCUUUUAUCUCUUUUCCCCUUGCACUUCUUGGUACUGUUGUGGGAAGAAAUUGGAGUGGUGCUCCAAACAAUCCAUGCCGAGUGAAGACAAUCCCUCGUCCGAUUCCUGAGAAGAAAUGGUAUCUUACGCCAUCUGUCGUCUCCCUCAUGGGAGGUCUGCUGCCUUUUGGAAGCAUUUUUAUUGAAAUGUAUUUUGUCUUCACCUCCUUCUGGAAUUACAAGGUAAUUUUUUUUUGUUUUUUUUUUUUUUUUUUGGUUUAAGGUAUUAUCUUUCUUUUGAUAACCGUGAAAAUGUUGGCCAUGUUUUAGUGUCGUAUUACACAGUGUGAGAGCUUGUAACUUUUGGCAUGUGUUUGGUGAACUGCUUAAAUGAAUCUUGAACAAUUUCAUAUCUUGUCCUAUUCUUGAGAAUUGCUUGAAACAGAACAUAUUAAAAGAACACAUAGAAACGACCGCUUGAAUGUUAUUGUACAAGUUUUACUGUAGGGUGUAAUUGACUUUUUCUCAAUUUCUCCUCAAGGGAGUAAGAUGUAAAUUCUUGAUUUUAUCUCGCUUACCUUACUUAAUUUUGUUGUUGUUGACAGGUGUACUAUGUGUAUGGUUUCAUGCUACUAGUGUUUGUGAUACUGAUCAUCGUCACCGUUUGCGUGACAAUUGUGGGGACGUAUUUCUUGCUGAAUGCCGAAAAUUAUCACUGGCAAUGGACUUCAUUCUUCUCUGCAGCCUCCACCUCGCUCUACGUGUACCUCUACUCUAUAUAUUACUAUUAUGUCAAGACUAAGAUGUCGGGUUUUUUCCAGACCAGCUUUUAUUUUGGAUACACUUUGAUGUUCUGCAUGGGUUUGGGAAUACUAUGUGGUAAGCUUUUUUGUCCAUCCUUUUUUCAUUUAAUCCUAGUCCAUAUAAUCAUCAAAGUUUAACAUAUUGUACCUCAAAAUUUCAGGUGCUGUCGGAUAUCUGGGAUCCAAUUUGUUUGUCCGAAGAAUCUACAGAAACAUCAAAUGUGACUAAAUUUUGGAGCCCUUUAUCGAAUUUCCCAUGAUAUAAUUUAGCAUCCCCGAUCUAGUAGGACAAUCGACCAGCUCUAAAGUAUUGCAUUCAAAAGCAAACCUAGGAAAUUUUCUGGCAGAGAUAGAAUGGAGGGAUAUCCGUGUUUCGCUGAAGUCUUCGACUGUUAACAAGAGAUGUUGCUUUACUCCAAUUUACGUAUUCGCAGAUACUUUUGCUGCCAAAAACAUCUCUGUGGCUUUGUAUAUUUUUGCUACAUAGGCAUUUGUUGAUUCACUAUGUUUCAUUAAUGGAGACCCUUUUUUGCAAUACUUUAUUUUCUUCCCACAAUAUUUUCAACCAUAUAAAUAUAUCCCUUGCUAAUAAGAUUUAUAUAUUUUCUCUAUGUCAAAGCUGCAUUUCUUUGUUAUGCUUUACAUCUAUCAAUAUAUUUGGUAUAAUUUGAUUAAAAUUUAAUACAUUUUCACAACAAAAAAAAGCAUUUAAAAUAUACAGAGCACAUCCAAAGGGUGAAAAGACCAGUUACAUAUCCAUGUCAUUUGUGAAACAUUCAAUACCUAACUAUCAACAAACAGUGAGUACAACCAAAAUCCGAGUGGGUUCGAAAUUAAAGAAACAACAGCUGCACAAAGAUAACAACGUAAUACAAGUCGACUACAAGUCAUUAUUACAAGAAUUAUCACGACACAAUAUGCAGACGCUGGCCGAGGUGAACAAGAUGCCAAGUGAGAGACAUGAGAGUGAAUACGUUGAGCAACGAAGAAUAAGAAUUCAACCGUUGAAGCAUUUGGCUCAAUCGGAUAAUCUGCGACUUCGCUACCGCUUCUUCCGAUUUCUCAGUCGACGAAACUCUGCCCACAGUUUCCGCAGUCGAAUCCACCACUCUGCCGCUAGGUAGUCCGCUCGCUUGCCCUUCUUUCACCGUUCCUUCUUCCUUCUCCUUCUUCAUCCUUUCAAGCAUCACCUAAACAUAGAGCACAAAAUACCCAACAAUCCAAAUCAAUUCAAGUACAUAAAAUCUCUUCACAACAUCGAAAAUUAAAUCAUACAAUGUAUCUUCUUACAAGAAGCAAUUUAUAGGCUCAAUCUCAUCAAGAAAGCUUAAUUCCAAUAAGCUUAGUGGGCCCCUUCAAAAUUUUAACAAGACCCGAAAAUUCGAUUAAUAAUCAACGAAAUUACGACACACAACUCACAAACCUUUGUUGCGCGAGGCUCCAAGUACAGUAAGUUGACCAAGAUCAUUGCAAGUGACGUCAUCAGAUUGAAGCCCUGAAACAUCCCCACACUAGUUGGAGACAACCUUUUCGUAUGACUCAUCAAAUGUCCAAAAAGUGCCAACCCCACACUGUAAGCCAUUGCCUUGAAAUACACUGGAUAUAUCUUGCUCUGCACAUUGGCAAACUGGUUUCUAGGCAGAGCCCCUGCCAGAACAUAACUCGAGGCGAAAGUAACCCACACACACAUCCCAUAAGCCGCCGCGAAUCCCAUCAGAUGCAAAAUUCCGGUCACCGGAGAAAGCCUAUCCGGCGAGAAUGCAUAGUCGAAUGCAUCCACCGCUACUUCUUGAGCUUUGUGAAUGAUUUCACUCAGCUCCCUUUCCCCUUCUUUUUUCACACUAUGUGCACUUUGUUUUGCUUUAUCUGAAGCCUUUUCAACCCAUUCUUCUGCAUCUUUCGCCUUUUCCGAAGCCAUUUCUUUAGCCCCUUCUUUCAUUUACAGUGGGCUUUUUUUUGGAAGCUUUUAUCCUCUGCAGUUUCUUUUUGCUUCAUGAACCUUUGGUCAUAGGGCUUUAUUGAGCUGGUGUGAGUAACCGUGUCCUUAACUUUUUGCAAUGGGCUUUCACCCAACCGCCUCCUUUGCCUCUUCCUCCACCUCGUAAACCUUAUCCGCCGCCUCGUGGGCUGUUUCCGCCACCGCCUCCUUUGUCUUACCCAGAGCACUCACGAUUUUAUGCUUACACUUUCCAUAUGCAUCACACACAAGCUCUCUAGCAUUAAAUCUGUGAUGAUUUUCUUCUUCUUGAUUUUGAUUCCGGUCUGCCUCUCCCACUUCGGGAAUAAUAGAAGAAGAAGCUUCUUUUAUUCCCUCUUUCGCAUUUUCCAUUCUCUCAGACAUUUUGUCAAGCACAUUGGAGGCAAACCCCUUUUCGCCAACUUUGUGGGGUGCCUGGGAAUCCUGCGGCGAGAUCGAAACCUUGGUGUUGCCGUCGUCUUUCUCGUACUCGACCACGAUCACUCUGUGACCUUCUUUCACUAUUACAUCAUCUUUCAAUUUCUGGUUUUCCGGGCUCGGAGUGAAAAAACCUGCAGUUACCAGAGACGUCAACACGAGACCUAGCGCCAAAACAUUCAUCAUCUUUUUUUUUCUUUUUUACCCUGUGUUAGAAAGAACUGGUGAAUUUUUUUUUUUUUUAAGAUCGGUGAUUUUCUUUGAAUUGGUAAGGACAAUCUGCAUGAAUUAUGGGGAGUAAUUGGUUAAUUGAGUUGUCUGGGACUCUGAUAAAUGGCCACGUGGUAUGAUGGAUUGUACAUGCAACACGUGGUUCGCCGCAUGUUCAUGCAGAAUUCUACGUGGCAGUUCAUGGUUUAGCGGUUACCUGAUUGGAGCAAGUAAUCAAAGAAAAGCCCUAAAGAAAUCAAAGAAAGCCCAACCCAAAUUAUCAAAUUGGGCUAUAUAUUGUUAACAAAAAGCUACAAGCUUUCAAUUUUGGGCUGCCCAUAUAAAUUUGGAACCCUAGAACACCAAAAAAGAAGAUUUUUUUUUUUUUUUUUAAAUAAAUAAUAAGAAUGGGAAAAUUUCACCUAUUUUAGGGCAUGUAUAAAUUAGGGUAAAUACACUUAACUUUCUGUGGCCUGAGCUUUGUGUACUUAACUCCCUUGUACUCUUAAUAUAAGCAUAUGACGUACUGUAGUUUGAACUUUGUGCAAAUGACUCCCUUAUACUUUUAAUAUAUGCACAUAACUUUUCAUGGUAUUCCACUCGAUAAAUAAUCAUGCUCGUUACUAAAAUGCAAUUUUUAAACGGUCAAGGAGGUUAUUUACUUGUAUUAUAAUAUAAAGACGUCAUAUAUUAUAUUGCAAGUAUAAGGGAUUAUGUGUACAAAGUUCAAACUGCAAGGGUAAACGCAUUUUAUCCCAUGAAUUAGUAAAAAGAAACAAGAUUUAGCAUUGAAACACCAUAAACUAGGAACAAGGGAACUGAAUGAAUCUUUGUCUAAGGAAUCUUUUCAACACAUAUAAAUAUAAGUAAAAUAAAAUAAAAUACAUGGACUACUAAUAAUUACCUCGGGGGCAUCUAAUAUAUACCCUUGGAUUUAAUAAUUGAGGAUAAAUUUACUGCAGGUGUGUAAGUGUAAUUAAUUUAAUUUAUAGGGACUUGUAUACUUCUCCUUGAUUAUGAUGAUGACCAUAUAAUCAAUUAAUAUACCAUGUGUGUUUGUGUGUGAGAGACACUAAUAUAAUAAUUGAAUUAAAUAACAAUCAAUUGAUGCCACGAGAGAAUUCAAUUGAACUCCUUUUUUAGUUAAACUAAGCACAAUUUGACAAAGAGGUUGUCCAUUCAACUAUUAAUUAUACUUGCAUUUUGCACGCUCACAUUAAUUAAUUAUGUUGAAAUAAGAAAGAUAAGUAGUUCAUAAGAGAAUUAAAGUAUUAAAUCGAACGAAUCAGAUCAAAAUUGGAAAGAUUUCCAUCUGAUAUACGGGCUUUGUGUGCGAGUGGCCAUUCAUUUUCGGUUGGACAAUCUCGGGUAGAAAUGACCUAACGAGCCAAGUUCUUGAUAAAUUCAUUUGGGUCCAUAAUCCAACAUGAUAAAGCGACAUAUAUAACUGAAAAAACAAAAUAUAAAAAAUAAGGUAAUAUUAAAAAGAAAAUAUUGAGUAUUUAUUGUAUAAUAUCAAACAUAUGAUAUGCUAUCACUACAACAAUUUUUAACAAACACUUGUAUAAUUACACACAUUUAUUUAUAUCCUAGGAUAAUCCAAACACAUCUGCAAGAGAUUUAAAAAAAUAUAUAUAUAGAAAAAAAGGGUUGGGGUCACCUUUCAAAUUUAAUUUAAUUGUUUGGCGAUUCCAAAGUCAGGAGUAAAAUAAAUUAACUUGUCAGUGGGCCCCACUUGUCAAGUAUUGUGGGGCCCAAAUCAAUCAGACAAAAAAAAAACAAAUGGGCCGCAGUCUUGGGUGGGUCCCCACCACCACUUAAACCCCACAUAUCUCUGCUCCUUGAUUCUGACGCACACAGCACACACACACACAGUACACUGUCUCUCGUCGGCUGUCAAACAUUUUAUUUUAAAAAAUAAAUAAAUAAAAAAGAUCUGGUUUUUAUCACCGAUUUCUUUUGCUAUUAUGGGGGCAUUAUUAAUUAAUUAAAUAAUUAGUUAAUAUUAUUGCGUGUAUCUGUUGACUGCGUUUUCUGCAUAUGUUUUUUAUUGAUUCAUUUUCUGUCUCUUUCAUCCAUCUCCCCCUGUUUGCUAACAGAGUAGAGAGAGAAAGAGUAGAAAGAGAAAGAAGAGAGAGAGAGAGAGGAUAUGAAUGAAAGGAAAUAAAGAAUGAGUUGAUGUUUCCUUUUUGAGGCCACACCAUUUUUCACACACUUGUGUUUUCUCCUCUGACUUUCAUCAUCGUCAUCAUCAUCUCUUUCUCACUCUAAAAAGCUGUGACCUUUCAAGAUCUGCGCACUCUCUCCUCUCUCUCUCAGGUUUGUUUUCACCUUCAACUGUGUGUUUAUAUGUGCUUUCUGUUUGUGAUAAUGGCCGCCGAGCUUUUUCAUCAGCUCUCUUCUUCUCCCGAAAUUUGAGAUGAGACUCCAUUGUUUGGCAGUCAGAUUCAACAAUUUCUCUGUUUUAGGGUUUCAAACGUUCAAGCCUGAGAAUUAUCUGUUAGGGUUUUUUGAUCUGUCUUUUUUUUUUUAUUGCAGAUCUAUGUUGUUGAGUAUGUUUUUAAUGUUUAAUGAUUCAGUUUGAUGAAACUUCUCUCUGUUUCAUAUUGUCCUUACAAAUUAUGCAGGUGUUUUUAAUACAUCAUAAAACAUGAAAUUUGAGCAAGUUUUUGAUGAAUUAGUGUCCGCAAACACCAAACACGGUUCAUCUUCACCUCUGUUCUUCGAUGACAAUUCGAAAUCUCACGAAACCGACACGCAAUCGGUGAAGAGUGAAAUUAGCACGGAGGGGAAUCAAAGUAUCGAAAUGGGUACAACGAAGAAACAUUUGAAUCAUUUAAACUCCCCUGAAGAUGGCUUAGUAAACACCGAAUCAUCCUCGUCGAACUCAUUAUCUGUCGUUGUUCGAUCGCCUGUUUCGAAUCACAGCUAUCAAGAAACCUGCAAAGAUGCUUACUCGUUCAAGAACCGUGGUAGUUCGAUGGAUAGUUCUAACUCUAAAGCAUUCGAUUUCAGCUUAGAUGAACUGAUGACAGCUAAUUCUGAAUCGGGCUUAUCCGCUCAAAUUGCUCGUAAAGCUAUGAGAAAUGUGAGAACUAGAAAUAGAAUGAAGGUUACUUCCAUGGCUGAAAACGAUAAUACCUCACUGCUCACUAAGAAGGGAGAUAUCGAGAUUUUAAGUUCGGUUUCUUCUGAUAACUUUUGCGCGAAUGAAUCUUCGGAUUUUUCGAUGAAAAAACCUCGGAAAGUUGAUAUGGGAUUUGAUCUCAACGAGGACACGAACGCAGAUGAAAUGGAUGAUUGUAUUAAGCCUUGUCAUGGUGCGAUACGUGUUGUGGCGAAACCCGGGAUUCUGAGUGGCAGGCCUGUAUUUCCGUUGAAGUUUGAGGGCGUUCUCGGCUGGAAGGGCCAUUCUGAAACAAGUGCUUUUCGCCCCACUGUGAGUUCGCAUAGAAAAACAUGUUCUACGGGAAUCGACCUCAAUGUGGCUGCUGCUGUAGAAGAUGUAAUACCUUUGCCUUCCGUUUUUCAAGAUUCUGAAAAAAAGGAUAAGGGGAGCUUAUUGAUCGAUCUCAAUUGCAUUUACGAUGCUGCUGCUGAUGAAUAUACUCAGCCCAAAUCGGAAUAUUCCCCUUUGAUUGACUUGAAUUUGAAUGCCAAUACAUCGGUAGUAGACAAAUCGUCCAAUAAACGAGCUUUUGAUUAUAGCAUGCAGCAUUGUGGACCGAUGGAACUGAUGCAGAGAGUACCAACAUUACCCUUGGUAUCAAAUACUUCAACCCCGUUUAGUUACUCUUCUAAUGGCCCGUUCCAUUUUAGUUCGGGGGAUCCUCUGCCAGCUGGCGCAUUGCCCUACGCCAGAUUCACUUACGAACAAGGGAUUUUGCCUCGAAUAUUUAACUCGGGCCCACUUCACACGUCUUUUGGCAGCCCUAAUCACAUGCAGGUUGCUCAUGAACCAACAAGGAUGGAUGUGAGUAGAGAAUUCUCGUUUCUUGAUAAAAAUUCGUCAAUGGGCGAACGAGCAAAGAGAAACGAGCCUGAAGGAGGAUUUGGUUGUUACUACAAACAGAUGACUUGAAGACUGAGGGCGAAUUUUAGGCGCAUUUUAAUUUGUCGUUUCGAUUUUUAUAAUCGCUACUUCGGUUUUUUUUUUUCCUAUUUUUUGAUCAAGUUAUUAACCCUUUUGAACACUUGCUCGACAAAAGAUUAGGAGGUUCGAUUAUUCUCGGGGUCGAGCUUGCUGUUUGAUAUUUCAUUCUUCCUCGUAAGCUUUAAGUUGAUAGGCUUCAAAAUUUUGUAUAUGGCACAUUUCAUUUCUGAUAAUAGAUGUAGAACACAUUUGACAUUUCAUUUUGUUUUCGUGUAUGUCGAACGGUUA